AAGACUAUACUUUCAGGGAUCUUUUCUAUAGUUCAUUCCUAGAGAAAUUUCCCUGAGCAUGUAGAGCAUGAAAAAACUAAAUAUGGA
This is a small nucleolar RNA of Macaca fascicularis (crab-eating macaque), 87 nucleotides long. Its record names the gene U3. It matches the Rfam family "Small nucleolar RNA U3". Rfam says of the family: Small nucleolar RNAs (snoRNAs) are involved in the processing and modification of rRNA in the nucleolus. There are two main classes of snoRNAs: the box C/D class, and the box H/ACA class. The record is from Ensembl. Lineage: Eukaryota; Metazoa; Chordata; Mammalia; Primates; Cercopithecidae.